This 522-nucleotide ribosomal RNA is filed under the name uncultured Burkholderia sp. RNAcentral's name for it is "bacterial SSU rRNA". It matches the Rfam family "Bacterial small subunit ribosomal RNA", at positions 121 to 638 of the family's 1533-position model. The record is from RNAcentral. Lineage: Bacteria; Pseudomonadati; Pseudomonadota; Betaproteobacteria; Burkholderiales; Burkholderiaceae.
GGAACAUGUCCUGUAGUGGGGGAUAGCCCGGCGAAAGCCGGAUUAAUACCGCAUACGAUCUGAGGACGAAAGCGGGGGACCUUCGGGCCUCGCGCUAUAGGGUUGGCCGAUGGCUGAUUAGCUAGUUGGUGGGGUAAAGGCCUACCAAGGCGACGAUCAGUAGCUGGUCUGAGAGGACGACCAGCCACACUGGGACUGAGACACGGCCCAGACUCCUACGGGAGGCAGCAGUGGGGAAUUUUGGACAAUGGGCGAAAGCCUGAUCCAGCAAUGCCGCGUGUGUGAAGAAGGCCUUCGGGUUGUAAAGCACUUUUGUCCGGAAAGAAAUCCUUGGUUCUAAUAUAGCCGGGGGAUGACGGUACCGGAAGANUAAGCACCGGCUAACUACGUGCCAGCAGCCGCGGUAAUACGUAGGGUGCAAGCGUUAAUCGGAAUUACUGGGCGUAAAGCGUGCGCANNCGGNUUGCUAAGACCNAUGUGAAAUCCCCGGGCUCNACCUGGGAACUGCAUUGGUGACUGGCA